GACAGAGGGGGCCAGCGUUGUCCGGAUUGACUGGGCGUACAGCGCGCGCAGGUGGCCCGGUAAGUCCGCUCUGAAAGUCAAAGGCUCAACCUUUGAAAGCGGGUGGAUACUGUCGGGCUAGAGUCCGGAAGAGGCGAGUGGAAUUCCUGGUGUAGCGGUGGAAUGCGCAGAUAUCAGGAGGAACACCAACGGCGAAGGCAGCUCGCUGGGACGGUACUGACACUAAGGCGCGAAAGCGUGGGGAGCGAACAGG
RNAcentral lists this ribosomal RNA (253 nucleotides) under uncultured bacterium. RNAcentral describes it as "partial 16S ribosomal RNA". It matches the Rfam family "Bacterial small subunit ribosomal RNA", at positions 524 to 776 of the family's 1533-position model. The record is from RNAcentral.